GCGAAAUCGGGGCCAGCGGGCGGGGUAAGGCGGAGGGGGUGGGGGUAGGCCGGAAUGACGGGGCGGAAAGGGCGCGUGGGGGGCGUCGCAAGUCGGUGGUGAAAGCUCGACGCUUAACGUCGAGGCGGCCAUCGAAACUGCGGGGCUGGAGCACUGUAGGGGCAGAUGGAAUUCCGGGUGUAGCGGUGGAAUGCGUAGAGAUCCGGAAGAACACCGGUGGCGAAGGCGGUCUGCUGGGCAGUUGCUGACACUGAUGCGCGACAGCGUGGGGAGCAAACAGGAUUAGAUACCCUUGUAGUC
RNAcentral lists this ribosomal RNA (300 nucleotides) under uncultured Carnobacterium sp. RNAcentral describes it as "bacterial SSU rRNA". It matches the Rfam family "Bacterial small subunit ribosomal RNA", at positions 496 to 795 of the family's 1533-position model. The record is from RNAcentral. Lineage: Bacteria; Bacillati; Bacillota; Bacilli; Lactobacillales; Carnobacteriaceae.